GCCCGUGUGGCGGAACUGGUAGACGCAGCAGACUCAAAAUCUGCCGAUCGCAAGAUCGUGCCCGUUCGAUUCGGGCCACGGGCACCA
Molecule: transfer RNA, 87 nt
Filed under: Nevskiaceae bacterium
Lineage: Bacteria; Pseudomonadati; Pseudomonadota; Gammaproteobacteria; Nevskiales; Nevskiaceae
Also listed under: 1 other name
Description: tRNA-Leu
Rfam family: tRNA
About the family: Transfer RNA (tRNA) molecules are approximately 80 nucleotides in length.
Source: RNAcentral